GCUCCUCCUCCCGCCGAGGCUGUGCACCGCAGACAGCGCGAGGGGGAGCGAGCGAGCGGGCGCGGCCGGGAUCCGCAGCCCUGGCGCCCGCCGUCGCUCGCAGCCCCGCAAUAUGCCUCCGUGGCUCUCUGGCUCUUCGCCAUGGCGAGGCUCUGCCGGCGCGUCUCUUGCGCCCUGCUCCUCGGCCUGGCCGCGGUGCUGCUGAAGGCGCGGCUCGUCCCC
This 222-nucleotide long non-coding RNA is filed under the name Rattus norvegicus (Norway rat). RNAcentral's name for it is "long non-coding RNA NONRATT018317". The record is from RNAcentral. Lineage: Eukaryota; Metazoa; Chordata; Mammalia; Rodentia; Muridae.